GUAUGGAGGUCAACCUCAGCCCUGCCCAAAGAAGGGGAGACGUGGGUGCAGGCUGGGCCCCCGGGGGCAACAUCCACUCUGGGCCCCGCUCCUAACCCAGCAAAGGGGCAAGUCACCGCCGUUUCCAACCUGAUGACCGGCUCAGAGUGACCGCAUUCCUCCCCGCACGCCCAGCCAGGGCUCGUGUCCACCUGGGGCUCAGUCCACACUCAGGAGGACAGGGAAGACAGUGAUGGGGAGACUGAAGUGACAGGGGCCGAGCGGCCUGACACCCCGGCUCACAGUGUCGAGAGGGCAGGAACCGCGUCUCGGCCCACCUGUGGCCUCCACAGCCUGAGGCAGGAUGCUGUGCAGGACUUAGAACACCUGAGCCCCGAGAAGCUGGUGACGGCGCGCAGGGCCCGAUGGCCACGGCGGGCUGCUCGUUUCCUGCAGGAGGAACUUACCUUAUUUUGGAGGAGCUGCUUUUAUUCUCAGAGGGAGGAAAAGGAACGUUCCGGGACCCUGGAAGCAAGAGGCAUCAUGUUCGGAUCCUCUGAAAUUAUUUAAGAUGUGAUAAUAUGAGCAUCUUGUUUUCAAAAAUAUUCCCUGGUACUUAUGCCUGGAAUUCCCUGCCAGCGUCCUCAAGGUCCCUGUUCAUUCGUUUCCCCUUCGGGGAUGUGACUGGAAUACAGAUCAUAGUUUAGACAGUCUGUGAAUAUGCAAGAAUUUCUCCAGCUCCAGCCUGGAUCUGAGGCUUCCAGAAACAGCACAUUGGCAGACCUGUGGAUGUCGAAGCAAACAUUAGGAUGACAACCAAACAAACUUAUUCCUGUUGCUUUAGGAGAAGCCUGUUGUGUUGUAUCCUGAGUGUUUUCAAGAAAGUUCAAUAAGUGAGAGCAUUUUACAGACAGGUGCACGUUCCCAGGUGCAGAAAACGUUUGCAAACUGCACGGGCACCCGGACCAGCCCAGGAGAGUGGCUCUAGCACCCCAGAAUCCCC
Long non-coding RNA from Bos taurus (domestic cattle), 982 nucleotides. Lineage: Eukaryota; Metazoa; Chordata; Mammalia; Artiodactyla; Bovidae. The record is from Ensembl.